UUUCAAAAUUUUCUCUUGUUGUUAUUUCCUAAAUAAUACAAUACAACUAUUUAUGUAGUAUAUAGUUGUAUUAGAUAUUAUAAGUAAUCUAGAAAUGAUUUAAAAUAUACAAAGAGUUGUGCAUAAGUUAAAUGCAAAUAUUAUUCCAUUUUAUAUAAGGACUUUAGCAUCUGCAGAUUUCUUUGGGGGUUCUGGAACUAAUCUCCUGCAGAUACUGACUAUAUUUAUAUAUUUUAUAUAUUCCCAAGGGCUGACUAUAUUUAUAUAUCUUUAUUGCUGAUGACAACUUAAAUAUGAUUUGAUUCUCUAGGAACAAAAUGUAAUGACAGGUAAAGCAAGACAAAUGGAAAUUAGAUCUUUGUAUGAAAUACUUCCAGUAAAAGAAGGUAUGCUUAUUUAUAAAAAAUAAGUAAAUGAUGAUAAUUUAAUUUAAAUAUUAAAAAAAAAUUUGUG
This 453-nucleotide long non-coding RNA is filed under the name Androctonus crassicauda. Lineage: Eukaryota; Metazoa; Arthropoda; Arachnida; Scorpiones; Buthidae. The record is from RNAcentral.